GAUGAACGCUGGCGGCGUGCCUAAUACAUGCAAGUCGAGCGAACGGACGAGAAGCUUGCUUCUCUGAUGUUAGCGGCGGACGGGUGAGUAACACGUGGAUAACCUACCUAUAAGACUGGGAUAACUUCGGGAAACCGUAGCUAAUACCGGAUAAUAUUUUGAACCGCAUGGUUCAAAAGUGAAAGACGGUCUUGCUGUCACUUAUAGAUGGAUCCGCGCUGCAUUAGCUAGUUGGUAAGGUAACGGCUUACCAAGGCAACGAUGCAUAGCCGACCUGAGAGGGUGAUCGGCCACACUGGAACUGAGACAAGGUCCAGACUCCUACGGGAGGCAGCAGUAGGGAAUCUUCCGCAAUGGGCGAAAGCCUGACGGAGCAACGCCGCGUGAGAGAUGAAGGUCUUCGGAUCGUAAAACUCUGUUAUUAGGGAAGAACAUAUGUGUAAGUAACUGUGCACAUCUUGACGGUACCUAAUCAGAAAGCCACGGCUAACUACGUG
Molecule: ribosomal RNA, 497 nt
Filed under: uncultured bacterium
Lineage: Bacteria
Description: partial 16S ribosomal RNA
Rfam family: Bacterial small subunit ribosomal RNA
Source: RNAcentral